CUGAGAUGGACUUUAAACAGUCCUUUAAACACAAAGGUUUGGUCCUAGCCUUAGUAUCAAUCCUUUCUUAAAUUAUACAUGCAAGUCUCCGCACCCCAGUGAAAACGCCCUUAAACUCCUUCAGGAACAAGGAGCCGGUAUCAGGCACAUUAAUUUGCCCAAGACACCUAGUCACGCCACUCCCACAAGGGUCUUCAGCAGUAAUAAACAUUGAAUAUUAGUGAAAACUUGAUUCAAUUAAGGUAAACAGAGCCGGCAAACACCGGUGCCAGCCGCCGCGGCUACACCCCUCGGGGCUCAAAUUGAUAAAAUCGGCGUAAAGAGUGAUUAAAGUGCACCCACUCAUGAUAGAGUUAAAACUAAAUCUUCCUGUUAUAAGCUUAUUUAUUUUUAAACCCAAAUAACGAAAGUUACUCUAUACCCCUCAACUUGAAUUCACGAAAACUCGGACACAAACUGGGAUCAGAUACCCCACUAUGCCAAGUUGUAAACCUUAACUUACACCAUCAUCGCCAGGGUACUACGAGCAAAGCKUAAAACCCAAAGKAMYUGACGGUKCCCUACACUUCCUAGAGGAGCCUGUCUCAUAAUUGAUUAUCCCCGCUAAACCUCACCACUCUUUGCCUCUCAGCUUGUAUACUUCCGUCGUCAGCCAACCACAUGAGUGAAAUUCAGCAAGCCUAAUGUCUACUCAUCAAAACGUCAGGUCAAAGUGCAGCUAAUAGAGUGGGAACAGAUGGGCUACACUUUCUAGUAUAGAAAACACGAAAAACUGUGUGAAACCAUAGUCAGAAGGUGGAUUUAGAAGUAAAAAGAAAUCAGAGCGUUCUUUUUAAUCUGCCAUUAGGGCAUGUACAAACCGCCCGUCACCCUCUUCGAAGCAUAAAGAUAUAGUAAUUAACCAUCCACCGCAUAAGAGAAGAGGCAAGUCGUAACAUGGUAAGUAUACCGGAAGGUGUACUUGGAAACGAAAUAU
RNAcentral lists this non-coding RNA (976 nucleotides) under Phrynopus tribulosus. Its description in RNAcentral is "partial 12S ribosomal RNA". It matches the Rfam family "Bacterial small subunit ribosomal RNA", at positions 405 to 1533 of the family's 1533-position model. The record is from RNAcentral. Lineage: Eukaryota; Metazoa; Chordata; Amphibia; Anura; Strabomantidae.